GAUGAACGCUGGCGGCGUGCCUAAUACAUGCAAGUCGAGCGAACGGACGAGAAGCUUGCUUCUCUGAUGUUAGCGGCGGACGGGUGAGUAACACGUGGAUAACCUACCUAUAAGACUGGGAUAACUUCGGGAAACCGUAGCUAAUACCGGAUAAUAUUUUGAACCGCAUUGUUCAAAAGUGAAAGACGGUCUUGCUGUCACUUAUAGAUGGAUCCGCGCUGCAUUAGCUAGUUGGUAAGGUAACGGCUUACCAAGGCAACGAUGCAUAGCCGACCUGAGAGGGAGAUCGGCCACACUGGAACUGAGACACGGUCCAGACUCCUACGGGAGGAAGCAGUAGGGAAUCUUCCGCAAUGGGCGAAAGCCGGACGGAGCAACGCCGCGUGAGUGAUGAAGGUCUUCGGAUCGUAAAACUCUGUUAUUAGGGAAGAACAUAUGUGUAAGUAACUGUGCACAUAUUGACGGUACCUAAUCAGAAAGACACGGCUAACUACGUG
RNAcentral lists this ribosomal RNA (497 nucleotides) under uncultured bacterium. RNAcentral describes it as "partial 16S ribosomal RNA". It matches the Rfam family "Bacterial small subunit ribosomal RNA", at positions 28 to 507 of the family's 1533-position model. The record is from RNAcentral.